RNAcentral lists this ribosomal RNA (253 nucleotides) under uncultured bacterium. Its description in RNAcentral is "partial 16S ribosomal RNA". It matches the Rfam family "Bacterial small subunit ribosomal RNA", at positions 524 to 776 of the family's 1533-position model. The record is from RNAcentral.
UACGUAGGGAGCUAGCGUUGUUCGGAAUUACUGGGCGUAAAGCGCACGUAGUCGGCUUUGUAAGUUAGAGGUGAAAGCCCGGGGCUCAACCCCGGAAUUGCCUUUAAGACUGCAUCGCUUGAAUCCGGGAGAGGUGAGUGGAAUUCCGAGUGUAGAGGUGAAAUUCGUAGAUAUUCGGAAGAACACCAGUGGCGAAGGCGGCUCACUGGACCGGUAUUGACGCUGAGGUGCGAAAGCGUGGGGAGCAAACAGG